Molecule: ribosomal RNA, 490 nt
Filed under: Rhynocoris kumarii
Lineage: Eukaryota; Metazoa; Arthropoda; Insecta; Hemiptera; Reduviidae
Description: eukaryotic LSU rRNA
Rfam family: Eukaryotic large subunit ribosomal RNA
Source: RNAcentral
UCCCGUCUUGAAACACGGACCAAGGAGUCUAACAUCUACGCGAGUGUUCGGGUGGCAAACCCGUGCGCGCAGUGAAAGCGAACGGAGGUGGGAGCCCCCCCGAGGGGCGCACCAUCGACCGAUCCUGAUGUCUUCGGAUGGAUUUGAGUAGGAGCGUAGCUGUGGGGACCCGAAAGAUGGUGAACUAUGCCUGAAUAGGGCGAAGCCAGAGGAAACUCUGGUGGAGGCUCGCAGCGGUUCUGACGUGCAAAUCGAUCGUCAAAUUUGGGUAUAGGGGCGAAAGACUAAUCGAACGAUAUGGUAGCUGGUUCCUGCCGAAGUUUCCCUCAGGAUAGCAGUAACGCGCAAUCAGUUUUAUGAGGUAAUUGUGAAAAAUUAGAGGCCUUGGGGUUGAAACAACCUUUUCUCCCUUUUUACUUUAAAUAUGUAAGAAGCCCCUUGGCCCAGCGAACCCUGGGCCCUACCCGUCUUAAACCCGAAUCCAGGGGGC